Molecule: ribosomal RNA, 442 nt
Filed under: uncultured bacterium
Lineage: Bacteria
Description: partial 16S ribosomal RNA
Rfam family: Bacterial small subunit ribosomal RNA
Source: RNAcentral
CCUACGGGGGGCAGCAGUGGGGAAUAUUGGGCAAUGGGCGAAAGCCUGACCCAGCAACGCCGCGUGAAGGAAGAAGGCUUUCGGGUUGUAAACUUCUUUUGACAGGGAAGAGCAGAAGACUGUACCUGUAGAAAAAGCCACGGCUAACUACGUGCCAGCAGCCGCGGUUAUACGUAGGUGGCAAGCGUUGUCCGGAAUUACUGGGUGUAAAGGGCGUGUAGGCGGGAUGACAAGUCAGAUGUGAAAGCCUGGGGCUCAACCACCGAACUGCAUUUGAAACUGUUGCUCUUGAGUAUCGGAGAGGCAGGCGGAAUUCCUAGUGUAGCGGUGAAAUGCGUAGAGAUUAGGAGGAACACCAGUGGCGAAGGCGGCCUGCUGGACGACAACUGACGGUGAGGCGCGAAAGCGUGGGGAGCAAACAGGAUUAGAUACCCGGGUAGUC